ACGAGGUGGACUUGAGACAGAA
RNAcentral lists this microRNA (22 nucleotides) under Heligmosomoides polygyrus. RNAcentral describes it as "hpo-miR-10031a-5p". The record is from miRBase by way of RNAcentral. Lineage: Eukaryota; Metazoa; Nematoda; Chromadorea; Rhabditida; Heligmosomidae.